GGGCUUGACCGGAUUUGACAGCGGGCAGAAAUGGUAUGUAAGCAUGCAGUGCGUCAGUGAUUAGCACUUAAAUCUCAGUUACUGAACUUUUAUCUGGCGAAAACAAUUACGCUCUCGCUGCUUAAUCGAAUCAUAGUAGAUUAGCUUUAUUUUUGCCAUAGUGGCGAAAACGAGAUAUCGCUCAAAAGCUCUUGUUCCGAGGCGUUUGAUUCAGCGGUAUAGGAAAAUCGGGAAUAGUAAGAAUUUCUCCUCGCGAUUCUUACGAAAACUUAGAGGAUAAGGCGCAAGUUGGUGGCUCUGGUCUUGCUUGCACACGAAAAUUAAGGCAGAGAUAAGCAUGUAGAAAACAUAUGGUUUCCUCGUAUGGACGAGGGUUCGACUCCCUCCAGGUCCACU
RNAcentral lists this transfer-messenger RNA (396 nucleotides) under uncultured Bacteroides sp. It matches the Rfam family "transfer-messenger RNA". Rfam says of the family: Bacterial tmRNA, also known as 10Sa RNA or SsrA, is named for its dual tRNA and mRNA-like properties. Its role is to liberate the mRNA from a stalled ribosome. The record is from RNAcentral. Lineage: Bacteria; Pseudomonadati; Bacteroidota; Bacteroidia; Bacteroidales; Bacteroidaceae.